ACAUGGGUGAAAUGAUCCUCGAUCUAAAGUUAUUCCAAAAGUUAUAGUCAGACAAGAAUACAAAUAAUUUAUGAAAUAACUAUUUCCAAAGGUAUAGCUAUUUUUGGUUCACCUCUUCUUAUUUCUUGGCCAAACAUAGCCUUAGGAAACAAUACCUCGUAUUUAAUAAGUAUGCUUCUUUUGGUUUAGAUGUUGCUUUCUGUAAAGCAGAGAAGCAUGGAAAUUGCAGCAGCUAAAGUGAGAAUUUGUCUAACAAUUUAUAGAAUGAGGAAAAUGUUUAAUUAGAGAGUAGAUGAUAGCUAGCCAUGGUUCAUCUAGCUGCAUCUUUUGUUUAAUUAUGGAAAAGCUUGUUAGGGAUCGGUAAAUAUUUAAACAUCUACUUGGGACUUGUAAUUACUACUUUUUUAGCACAUCCUAGGGCCUGCAAUAGGGUUGUCAAUUUAUCCGAGCAACUUUAGCCUGUAGAUCUCAGCCUAAAAUAGGUUCACUUAUGAUGUGAUUAACCCAAGAUUGCACGUGGGUCAUAGGCUCAAAAUCUAUUGGGUCAAGCUUGUAAAGAUCCUUGCUUGAUAAGGCUUGAAAUGGCAAAAUAUAUUAUAAUAAAAUAUAAUAAUAACCAUCCAUGGAGGAACCUGCAAAUAAUUUCUUCUCCAAAUAUUCCAAAGUUGGCAUUUCAUGCUGAUUUCUGCGGACUUUGCAAACUAGAAAUUGAUAAAUAAUAAGAAAUCCAUUUAGGACCUACAAAUAAUUUAUUUUAACGUGUUUCAAGUUAGGAAGAACAACCAAGUACCAAUGUACACCUGAAACUUGUAAAUCAAGGACCGAGUAAAUAAUAUUUCAUCCACUAACCUGUCUCUACAUGGAGCUUGUAAGACAGCAACUGGUAAAUAAUAAAAAAUCCAACUAGGAAUCUAUUAAUAGUUAUUUGUCAACCGAUUUGCAAAGUUGGCUAGCUUUGCUGACUCAUUAGAACUUAUAGACUAGGGUCUGAUAAAUAAUAAACUAUCUGCAUUGGCUCUAUAAUAUCUUUUAAUAUAAGGUAUAGAGCUACAAAUUGUUUGACAUUUUUUACCAUAUACAAUUUGUAACUCAGAAACUUCUAAGAAAUUAAAGGCUCAGCAAAGGAUCUCUGUAUAAUUUUGCCUUAAUCCGUUCUCUCUCUCUCCAGUCUCAUCUUCUCCGCCUCUUCUUGGCCUUCUCUUCCUUGAAUUCAUGGCAACCAUCCCCCUAACUGAUGGCAAAUAAAAAUUAGUUGAUGGUAAAUUUUAUUGUACUUUUGGACUUGGAGUUUGAUUUUUAGAGUGUUAGAGUCUUCCUUUAGCUGGGAUUAGUGCGAAAGUCUUACUUGAGGUAUCAGUUGGUCAGUAAGUCCAAUUCAUAAUGCUAUUAGCAUUCAUUUAUUAGCUGUUGUAGAUAUCUUUUUACAUAGAGUUAUGUGGGAUUCUAGUUUGCUUUUUUAGGAAAGUAUUUAGAGAUUGACUACAUGGUUGUUAGUAGUCCUAGUUUAAGUCAAUCAGGUAAAAUUUACAAUCGGGUCUUAUAGCUGGCCAUUGGAGGCAUUGCACAUGAUUUGUUUUGACUGAAAGAAAGGAUUUCCUGGGGCCAGGUUUAGUCAUUCACCCUCCCCCCCUCUCUCCAGCGCAUGCUUGCUUGCUCUCCCUCCAUACUUAAUCUCUCUUUUAUUAUCUUCGAUCUCUUUCUACACUCGUCCAAGCCUGACUUCACUAUUGUUUUGUUAGGACUUAGGACUACUAUGGACCACCAGCAAUUAACAAGUUUGCUUUAUAAAUUUUUUCCUUGGGUCUAUAUCAUUUUAAGACCUAAAGUAGAAAUAUUUUGGCUGCCUUGAAUUUACAAUUACCAACAUUGUUCCUUCCCUGUUUCUGUGCCAGGACAAUAGGGAGAUUUCUUAACCCCAUCCUAGUUUGAUCUCUUCCUUAGAUCCAUAGACAUAUUGCAGGUCAUCCUCAGUUGGUCCUAUGUCACCAAUUCAGAUCUUUAUCCAAACCUGAUGCUGUCUCUAGCUGUUCCUUCCCUCCCACAAAGCCUAAUCCUAGAUCUUGGCACCCCAAUCUCAAUUGUCCACCACUGGCUAUGUUGGUCCUCCAAAUCUCCAAGCUUCUGAUAUUCUGAAAUUUUCUACCCUCUGAGGAGGUGUUGCUAUUCAAUUCUGUAGCCAUCAUGUUCUUUUGAUUUUCUAGUCCUUCCCUUCGAUUCGGAUGAGAUUCUUGACAUUGCUUUAGUUUCUCUUCAUAUGCAUUUUAGGAGAAACGGUUGCUUUGUUUUCAGUUAAUCUCUUUCUAUUCUGGAUACAUGUUGAUUUUAACUGAUGUCCAGAAGUCAUUGUUGCAUGGACAUGGACACGGGAAUCAGAAUUGAACUUGUGUCACUUGAUAAGAGGAAAAAUGGAGAUACAGGGAUACAUAGAAUAGAAUUAUAGUUUUAAUUAAAUAGUAUAUAUUUAUAUUUUUUUCAAUUAGAAGACCGUGUCCCUUUAUAUUUAUAUUUCUUAUCCCACUCACUUCUAACGUUAAAUGGAGGACUUAUCCUGCUCACUUCUAACAUUAAAAUGGAGGAUCUAACUCAUUGUUGGUAGAGUCAAGCUCUUGACAAAUCUCUAAAAGCUCCAAAUAGAGAGGUUUAUUGGUAUCCAUGUGUCUGACAAGCAUCCGAUUCAAAUAUGCAUCCAGCACAGCUUACUCCAU
This 2705-nucleotide long non-coding RNA is filed under the name Phoenix dactylifera (date palm). RNAcentral describes it as "long non-coding RNA (PDAC_LNC006281)". Lineage: Eukaryota; Viridiplantae; Streptophyta; Magnoliopsida; Arecales; Arecaceae. The record is from RNAcentral.